This 397-nucleotide ribosomal RNA is filed under the name uncultured bacterium. RNAcentral's name for it is "partial 16S ribosomal RNA". It matches the Rfam family "Bacterial small subunit ribosomal RNA", at positions 523 to 918 of the family's 1533-position model. The record is from RNAcentral.
AUACGUAGGUGACAAGCGUUAUCCGGAUUUACUGGGCGUAAAGGGCGUGUAGGCGGUCUUGCAAGUCAGAAGUGAAAUUCCUGAGCUCAACUCGGGCGCUGCUUCUGAAACUGCAGGACUUGAGUGCUGGAGGGGAUAGCGGAAUUCCUAGUGGAGCGGUAAAAUGCGCAGAUAUUAGGAAGAACACCGGUGGGGAAGGCGGCUAUCUGGACAGUAUCUGACGCUGAGGCGCGAAAGCGGGGGGAGCAAACAGGAUUAGAUACCCUGGUAGACCACGCCGUAAACGAGGAAUACUAGGGGUAGGGGGUAUCGACUCCCUCUGUGCCGCAGUUAACACAAUAAGUAGUCCGCCUGGGGAGUACGGCCGCAAGGUUGAAACUCAAAGGAAUUGACGGGG